GGUUCCUACGGGGCGCAGCAGUGGGGAAUAUUGGACAAUGGGGGGAACCCUGAUCCAGCGACGCCGCGUGAGUGAAGAAGUAUUUCGGUAUGUAAAGCUCUAUCAGCAGGGAAGAAGAAAUGACGGUACCUGACUAAGAAGCCCCGGCUAACUACGUGCCAGCAGCCGCGGUAAUACGUAGGGGGCAAGCGUUAUCCGGAUUUACUGGGUGUAAAGGGUGCGUAGGUGGCAUGGCAAGUCAGAAGUGAAAGCCCGGGGCUCAACCCCGCGGACUGCUUUUGAAACUGUCAGGCUGGAGUACAGGA
This 305-nucleotide ribosomal RNA is filed under the name uncultured bacterium. RNAcentral's name for it is "bacterial SSU rRNA". It matches the Rfam family "Bacterial small subunit ribosomal RNA", at positions 334 to 653 of the family's 1533-position model. The record is from RNAcentral.